This 253-nucleotide ribosomal RNA is filed under the name uncultured bacterium. RNAcentral describes it as "partial 16S ribosomal RNA". It matches the Rfam family "Bacterial small subunit ribosomal RNA", at positions 524 to 776 of the family's 1533-position model. The record is from RNAcentral.
UACAGAGGUGGCAAGCGUUGUUCGGAGUUACUGGGCGUAAAGGGCGCGUAGGCGGCCUUGUAAGUCCUGUGUGAAAUCCCCCGGCUCAACUGGGGAACUGCACAGGAGACUGCUUGGCUUGAGUUCGGGAGAGGGAAGCGGAAUUCCGGGUGUAGCGGUGAAAUGCGUAGAUAUCCGGAGGAACACCGGUGGCGAAGGCGGCUUCCUGGACCGACACUGACGCUGAGGCGCGAAAGCCAGGGGAGCAAACGGG